This 78-nucleotide transfer RNA is filed under the name bacterium. RNAcentral describes it as "tRNA-Pro". It matches the Rfam family "tRNA". Rfam says of the family: Transfer RNA (tRNA) molecules are approximately 80 nucleotides in length. Their secondary structure includes four short double-helical elements and three loops (D, anti-codon, and T loops). RNAcentral also lists the same sequence under 1 other name. The record is from RNAcentral.
CGGGGUAUAGCGCAGCCCGGUUAGCGCACCUGUUUUGGGAACAGGGGGCCGCAAGUUCGAAUCUUGCUACCCCGACCA